Molecule: ribosomal RNA, 238 nt
Filed under: uncultured bacterium
Lineage: Bacteria
Description: partial 16S ribosomal RNA
Rfam family: Bacterial small subunit ribosomal RNA
Source: RNAcentral
CGUUAUUCGGAAUUAUUGGGCGUAAAGGGCGCGUAGGCGGCCAUGCGUGUCUUCCGUGAAAUCCCUCGGCUUAACUGAGGACGUGCGGAAGAAACUGCAAGGCUCGAGUCCGGGAGAGGGGGGUGGAAUUCCCAGUGUAGCGGUGAAAUGCGUAGAUAUUGGGAGGAACACCGGUGGCGAAGGCGGCCCCCUGGACCGGUACUGACGCUGAGGCGCGAAAGCGUGGGUAGCAAACGGG